This 481-nucleotide ribosomal RNA is filed under the name uncultured Glomeromycotina. Its description in RNAcentral is "LSU rRNA". Lineage: Eukaryota; Fungi; Glomeromycota. The record is from RNAcentral.
ACAGGGUAUAGAGAGAAAGAGCUUUUCGAAUGUGCAUUUGUGGGCGUAUGAAGAUCCUUCAUUGUUUGCAAUAUGUAUGUUUCCUUUGGUGUACUUUUUCGUAUGGUAGGUCAACGUCGGUUUUGAUCGCCAUAAAAUGAUCGGAGGAAUGUAGCUUCGACCUCGGUUGAAGUGUUAUAGCCUUUGGUAAAUGUGGUGAUUAAGACCGAGGAUUGCAACGAAUACCUUUUAGGCUAUCCGUCUGACCUCUGAAAGUUACUUGGGUGUCGAAAGCUUGCUUACGGCCAUUUAAGUUAACGGUCAAAAGGUUAGAACGUGAUUACAUUCGUUAAGAGGUUGGACGUAAAAAAAGUACGCCCCCCCCACCUAACAGGCGCCUACUAUAUUGCAUACAGUGAAGAUCUCAUACGCCCACAAAUGCACAUUCGAAAAUCUGAUUUCUCGUCGGUACGACUGACUUCCAUCGGUUCCCUUUCAAAAA